RNAcentral lists this ribosomal RNA (254 nucleotides) under uncultured bacterium. RNAcentral describes it as "partial 16S ribosomal RNA". It matches the Rfam family "Bacterial small subunit ribosomal RNA", at positions 524 to 776 of the family's 1533-position model. The record is from RNAcentral.
UACGUAGGGGGCGAGCGUUGUCCGGAUUUAUUGGGCGUAAAGAGCUCGUAGGCGGUUUGGUAAGUCGGAUGUGAAAUCUCCAGGCUCAACCUGGAGGGGUCAUUCGAGACUGCUAUGACUAGAGUUCGGUAGAGGAGUGUGGAAUUCCUGGUGGAGCGGUGGAAUGCGCAGAUAUCAGGAGGAACACCAACGGCGAAGGCAGCUCUCUGGGACGUUACUGACGCUGAGACGCGAAAGCGUGGGGAGCAAACAGG